CCUUCCGCGGUGUAUAGAAUGGAAUGG
Molecule: small RNA, 27 nt
Filed under: Bombyx mori (domestic silkworm)
Lineage: Eukaryota; Metazoa; Arthropoda; Insecta; Lepidoptera; Bombycidae
Description: ovarian small RNA-14090
Source: RNAcentral